Molecule: long non-coding RNA, 427 nt
Filed under: Androctonus crassicauda
Lineage: Eukaryota; Metazoa; Arthropoda; Arachnida; Scorpiones; Buthidae
Source: RNAcentral
UCUGUAUUGCAUAGUAGUUCAGAUUCUCUGUGGAAACCAUAAGGCUAUUUUGUCUACUUUGCAUGAAUACUUCAGACUUGUAUUUCAGAGCCAAGCAGUAACUAAAAUGUGGACCUUGCUUUUCAGAGAUAAGAGUUCUUAAUUAUAUGUCUUUAAGUGUUUCCUUCUAGGCUUCCCACCAAGUGUUUUGAUCUUUGAAAUGUAAGCAACUGAUCACUGAUGUAUAUUGGCUGGCAAUUCAUCCUUCUGCCACAUGUACAUAUGGAGAACUGUGAAGGUUUCUAAGGAAUUUAAAUCACUUGUCAGCUUGUGUUCUUAUUCGCAAACACACCAGCUUUGGACUCUAAACCUAUUUUUCCAACACUAAUUCCAGUGCUUCAAAAUAACUCUCUUUUCAACAUAAAAUUGAUGAAAGGAUAUGAAGGAG